This 24319-nucleotide long non-coding RNA is filed under the name Cucumis sativus (cucumber). Its description in RNAcentral is "long non-coding RNA (CSAT_LNC000826)". The stretch from base 12747 to 12818 matches the Rfam family "tRNA". Lineage: Eukaryota; Viridiplantae; Streptophyta; Magnoliopsida; Cucurbitales; Cucurbitaceae. The record is from RNAcentral.
UUUGGGCUUAGCUUCGGCGGCCCGAUCUCUUCUUUCUUACGAUAUUCCUCCUCAUCGAUCUGGAUACGAUAAUUAUGAUCAUCCUGUAGUUAACCCUAAAGUAGGAUACGAACAUGACCGUCGUGAUGGAUACUACCAUGACCGUGACCAUCAUGAUGCACCUUAUGGUGGUGGUGCUGGUGGAGGAUAUGGAGCUGGAGCUGGAGCUGGCUCAUCUCUUGGAGGCUCUGGAUAUGGAAGUGGAGGAGGUGGUGGUUCUGGAUAUGGAGGUGUAGGAAACCACGAGGUUGGUUAUGGUAGUGGUGGAGGGGGUGGAUAUGGAGCUGGAGUUGGCUCUGACCUUGGUGGUAGCGGAUACGGAAGCGGUGGUGGUGGAGGCAGUGGAGGAGGAUACGGUGAUUUAGGAGGACGUGGAAAAGGGUACGGUAGCGGUGGAGGUGGAGGAAGUGGAUAUGGAGGUAGAGGAGACCAUGGAGUUGGUUAUGGAAGUGGUGGAGGUGGAGGAUAUGGAAGUGGAGUAGGUGGUGGUGCAGGAGUGGUAGACCAUGGUGUAGGUUAUGGGAGUGGAGGAGGAGGUGGGGCUGGUAGUGGUUAUGGUGGUUCCAAAGGAUAUGGAGGUGGAAGCGGCGGCGGUGGGGGAGCCGGUUAUGGUGGUGGAGCACAUGGAAGUGGAUAUGGAAGUGGUGGUGGAGCUGGAAGUGGUGAAGAAGGAGGAUAUGAUGGUGGAUAUGCACCGUAAACAAAGAAAAGAAAAGAAAAAGCUCAAAGUUUUAUGGCUAAAAUGAGAAUGCUUACCCUAAUAUCAUCAAUGUGUGUGUGUGUUAGCAAAAAAAAAAAAUAAAAGAAUUUGGGUAAGAAAUGUUAUAUUAAUUAUCUUUGAGCUUUUAAGUAAUUUGAAUGUAAUAUAAUAUAUAUAUAAAAAAAGCUAAUCCAUGUGUUCCAAAGUGAACCAACAUGAAGUAUAUUUUCUCCCUUUGUCAUCAUGAUCAUCUUAAACUUGUGGUUAUUAUGUGGGCUCUCAUUAUUAUUCCAAGAUAGCAACGUCGGGAUAUUCAAAUAUUUUUCAUAUGUAAUGUCUUAAGACUAAAUCACUAUGAUCUAUAUGCUUUAAUUAAGUUCAAAACUAUUUUGGAAGCAUUAUGAUUAAUAUAUUGAUUACUUAAAUACUAUUAUAUGGUUUUCAAGGUAACUUGAUGUUGUUAAUAAAAGAAAUCUUUAAUAUUUAAUCAGUCCUUUCUCUUAAAAUUUAGUAAAAAUAAAUACUAAAAUGGUAUGAUGUUUUAUGGUUGGAUUUGGGGUAUGUGUUUUGGCUUGUCCCUCUAGUUGUGACUUGUUCAAAAUAAGUGUACAAUCAAAUUCACUUGGGUUAUUAAAGACAAUUGAUAAACAAAAAUUGCCAAAACGAUAGAGCAUAACUAUUUAAUCGGUAUAAAACUUGUACAAUCCAUUAAUCAUAAUAUACUUUUUCUAAUUGAUCUCUAAUUGAUCGUACAUACUAGUUAGUGUCGAUAAAAAACUCAAUUUGACGUAUAAAUAUUUGUUUGUUGUAAAUGAACAUCUAAGUAUAUUCUUGAUUAAUUAUUCUUAUACUAAGAGUAACAUUGACCCCUCUAUUCUUUAGUAUUUGGUUAAAAGAAUAAAAAAUUAGUAAGUGAUGAAUCUUAGUGUGCUAUAGGUUGAUCAACCAAUUAAAAUUAGUCGUUUCAAGCAAUACUUUCGAAAAAAUUCAUUAAAUAGGAGUUAUUUAAACUAUCAACCCUGAGUUUUUAUACAUUACAAUAAAUUUAAUCUUUGAUGUCGGUCAAAAACUAAUAUAUAGGAGUACAAUAUAGAUCACCAGAUCGAUAUGGAAGACAAUGUUAUGGAAGAUGUUCAAUGUUAAUCACUUUUAUGUUCGUUUUGGUCUUGGCAUUAUAAAUAAUUUAAAUGGUAGUUUUUGCUCACACUACAAAUGUGUUAGACUAUUAGUCAUCAAAUAGUUUGAAUUCCUUGUAAAAAAAAUUAGUUGAAACAAAAAUAAAUAAUUAUCUUUGCAUUAAAAUAAAAUAAAAUAAAUAAAAUAGAUUUUUUUGUGAAUAUUUUGGUCAGGUGUUCUAUUUUUUAUAAUUUCCCAUAAAAAAUAUGUGUAAUAAGUUAUUUAAAAUACUAAUAGUAUUAAUUAGUUUACUUAAUAAAUCAAUUAUAUCUCUAAAUGAUAUUUUGGUAGAUUUAAAAAUAUUUUGAUUCAUUUUGCUAUAUUUGAAAAAGAAACCAUAAAAUUCUACUUCAUAUUCGCAAUAGAUCAUGGUAAACUUAGAUAGGCAUCUAUUAUUUAUAUAUAUGGUGAUAGAUACUUAUGUAUCUAUAUCCAAGCCCAUCAUCUAAAUAUUUUCAAAUGGUUUUCAAUUGAAAACAAAUUUCUCAAUAAGUAAUUAAAAAUUAGGUUUUUAUUCACUAAUAAUUAUUAUUUAAAUGUGAACAAAUAAAGUUUAGCUCGUAUAUAAUGGGUCAGUAGGUACACUCGGAUAUCUCCACUAGAUGGACACCCCUUAGCACCCUCAUUAUCUCCGUUUCAUUAAUAUAAAAAAUCGAAUUGAAUACACGAGAAGUAAAGAGAACAACCCAAACAAAAAACAAAGAACUAGAGACAAGCCCAAAACAAGUACAAACAAUUAGAAAGCAUGAAGAAAUUAGUGCUUUAAACCCCUAAACCGCAAUGUUACUUAACAAAUAAAAUUGUUAUUUAAAAGUUUGAAGUUAUUAUUGAGUUUUAUUUUAGCAAAUUAAUCAUCUCUUAAAUUAAAAAUCUCAAACAUACAUGGAAGAUAAGAUCAAUUAAGCACAUGUUGGAUGAAUUUUGUUCGAAUAAAAAUUAAAACAACUUAUUGUUAUCAACUUAUAAGUUAUAUAUAUGAUGAUGGUGGUGCAGAGGUGAAAACUUAGUUUGAGAUCUCUCCCUACAUCUACUAUGCUUUUACGUUCUAAUGUAUUUUGUGGUAAAAAAAUCAAUUAUAAACUUUUAAGAAAAAUUUUCAUAUGUUAUUAUUUUUUCUCUAAAUUCUAAACUAGCCAGGUUAUCAACAAAACAAAUACCACUAGAGUUUAAGGGAUUAGGAAGCAUAUAUGAAUAUCUCAACUUGGUUAACACGUCGUUUUUAAACAUUUCUCAUCAGGUUGCUGUUUCAAAAGUGAUGCACUGAUGUGAAGAAACAUAUAGGAGAAAAGUGAGAUGGAAAGUUAGUAUAUUGGACAGAGUACAUAGUACAUAGUAGGUUUAUUAAUUAAUUUAUCCAAAUGAUAAUCUCAUUACCAAGCACUAUGUGAUUUAGAUAUGAAUAAAAUGUGAUCAUUUUUCCACCACUAUUACAUAGCAAAUGGGAAAACAUCUCAUUGUGGUUUGAUAUUUUAAAAAACAAUUAUGGUAAUGCAAGUCGUCUCAUAUCCCAUAAUAUUAUCUCAGUCUCAUGGCGACUGAUACAAAAGGACAAAACUAACUUCAUUAAAAUAUGUUCUCUCCUUCCUACACUUUUUAGGUAUAUAUCAUUCAUAUAUUAAUCACUGCAAUUGGUUAGGUGGACUACAAAAACAUAGAUAUAGUCCGAGAUAAAAUUAAGUACGGUUAUAUUUUACGAGACUUUUGAUGUGUUUGAUUACAUUUUCAUGUGUUUCUUUUAGAAAAUAAGUUAUUUUGAAAAAACUAAAGUAUUUUAAACAAUUUUUAGAACAAUCAAUUUCUUGAAAAAUAUUUUUUUCUUAAUUCAAUCUAAGAUGGAUCCUCAAAAUAUUUGAGGGUAGUUCUUUUAUAAAAGUAUUUACACUAGGUUGGUUUAUGAAGUAAAAUAUUGAUCGGUAAAUUCAAGUUUUAAAUUAGAAAAAUUGAAUAUUUUUAAAAAUAGAAGAAUUGGCUAACUAUUUACAACUCAUACCAAAAUUUUAAUACAAAUCCAAAGUAUCUAUUUUUUAUUUUAUUAUUAUUAUUAUUUUUUGCUAUAGGAUGUAAAUACUAUCUGUUUUCUUGUAAAUUUCUCUUACAAUCCUCUACGAGAAAGUCUUAAUUUUUAUAUUUAUGAUUUAUAUUAUAAUAUAAUUAUUUGGAACCAUAUAAUAAAUAAAAGGAAAAUUGUAAAACAUAACAUUUGACAAAAUAUCUUCGUAGAAAAAUUUGUUGUGUAAUCAAUUUUGAGGUUUUGUUAUAUGGAGCGUAAAUAUUUUGUCAAAUUUUCUAUUUGUGAAAAAAAAAACUUAUAGGUAAUUUGAAAGGUAAGUGAUCUUGUUUAAGAUCCAAAUUUCUUUUAUGAAAGUUUAAUUUAGAAUACAUACGAGAAAAAUAGAUUAAUCUAGAAUGAUAAAUGUAAGAUAGGUUUGGGAAGUACCAAUAAAUUUUAGGCAUGUGAUAGACUAUAACUGUGAAGAUAUAUAGUCUAUUGCUAUCUUGAAUGGCUCAUUCUUGUUUGAAAAUGACCUUAUUUAAAACACAACUUUUUUAUAAAAGAAAAUCCCUUGCAUCAUUCAAACAAUCUUACAAGAUCGUAUUAGUGGAAGAUGAGAUAGAAUUCUGACAUGUGUAUUAUUAGUAUACUUGAAUAGUUUCUUAUCUAACUUUUGAGCAAGUAGUGGAGAAGCUGAUCAUGAACCCUAAACCCACCGUAUCAUUCACUAUAUAAAGGAGAUCACUACAUGCAUUCUAAGGCAUCCCUUCUCCAAAUGGCUAUCUUUAGAACUUUCUCUUUCGGUUUUCUUUUGUUGGUGAGUUUAGGCUUAGCUUCUGCGACCAGAAGUCUUCUCACCUAUGAUCCACCACAUCACUCUGUAUAUGAUGAUCAUAACACUAAAGUAGGUUACGGACGUGACCAUCAUGAUCAACCUUAUGGUGGUGGUGUUGGUGCUAGUGGAGGAUAUGGAGCCGGAGCUGGCUCUGGAUAUGGAGGUGUAGGAUACGAACAUGACCAUCAUGAUGGAUACGAACGUGAUCAUGAUCGAUCUUAUGGUGGUAGUGCUGGUGGAGGAUAUGGAGUUGGAGCUGGCUCCUCUCUUGGAGGCUCUGGAUAUGGAAACGUAGAUCAUGGGGUUGGUUAUAGCAAUGGUGGAAGUGGUGGAUAUGGAGCUGGUGUUGGCUCUGACCUUGGUGGUAGCGGAUAUGGAAGCGGUAAUGGCGGAGCAAGUGGAAGUGGAAAUGGUGAUUUAGGAGGACGUGGAAAAGGCUACGGUCGCGGUGGUGUUGGAGGAAAUGGAUAUGGAGGUAGAGGAGACCAUGGCCGAGUAGUAGGCCAUGAUGAUGUAGUUUAUGGUGGUUCCAAAGGAUAUGGAGGUGGAAGUGGCGUCGGUGGGGGAGCUGGUUAUAGCGGUGGAGCAAGUGGAAGUGGAUAUGGAAGUGGUGGUGGAGCUGGAAGUGGAAGUGGCUAUGGCGGAAGUGGUGAAGAAGGAGGAUAUGAUGGUGGAUAUGCACCUUAAAUAAAAGGGGCUAAAACAUCAUCUAAAAGCUUAUCGUUAAAACGAUAAUACUUACCUAAAUAUCAAUGUUUGUUAGCAAAAAUAAAGAAUUUAGGUAAGAAUGUUAUGUUCCUCUUUUGAAUUUUAGUAACUUCAAUGAAUGUGAUAUUAUAAAAACUAGCUGUUUCAUGGGGUUCUAAAGACCAACAAACAUGCAUGAAAUACUGAGUUAAUACAACGUACGCCAUUCCAAACGUGCUAUUUUAUGGAUUCCAAAGUUGACUUUGAACUAAGGACUAAAUAAUCCUUUAACACCUUCUAAACACAAAUUAUUUCACAGACGUCAAGAUCAGUUAAUCAAGUUAAAACUUAAUAGGUCAAAUUCAUCAUUCCAAAAUGACUUGUAGAAAAAUUUUGAGACUUAGUUCGAGUAUGUUAAAUUCUAAUGUUACGAAGUUUUCUUAACAAAAUUGAGAAGGAGGUUGGGAUGGUGGAUAUGCACUCAAAAAUUUCAUCUCAAAAGAGAAUUGAGAAACAUACUUUUCAAGUAACAAACCCAAUAUUCAUAUUAAUUGGGCAACAAAAGUAAGGAAAUAGGGGUAAAAAGAGAACAUUGUUUUCUAAAUAAUCUAUGUCGAGGUUUGCUUCUUGGCCAUGAAAUUCGAACCAAUUAUUCAAUGAUAAGCAAAUUUGGAUUAAGUAUGCAUGUGUAAUGUGACAAAAUUAUUCAACCACAUUCACGUUAUUUUGCUUUCCUAAUCAUAUUUAUGAAAUAAGAUGGUUUCAUCUUUCAAAAUCAAUACACAAUUACAAAAGUAGUAAUACUUCUAUCUUAUAAACAAUGUUGAUCUCUUGAAUUUUCCAUGUAUGGAAUUAUCAACAUUCUCCGCAUAUUGUUCUAGGUUAUUUUUUUAACCAGUGUAAUCAACCUCAAACAAAAACAAAAGUGACAAAACCAAGAAAAUAACAAAAUUUUCACUUAAAUAAAAGAGGGAAAAAAAAUAGCACAUCCUAUAAGCCAAAAUAAGGGCGAGGGGUUUAGGGUUUAGGGUUAUUAGACCAAGACUACCAAAAUGUCUAAUGACUUUUAUAACGAAACAUCUAGUUUAGAUUGAUACAUAUGAUAUGUAGCAUCUUCACAGCAUCCAAGAUCAAGAGUCGAUAUAUUAUCAUGAAAAGAAAGUACAAAAGGGAAGUUAGGGAAAAACUUGGAGUCAACGUUAAGAGAACCAUUAAAAGUUUUAGAAGUUCAAUUAAUAUUUGUAAAAUUUUAAGAGCUAAAUUUUUAUAAUCCAACGUUUGAGGUCUAGUAAUUGCAAUUGACCAUCAUACUUCAGGGAUAAUUUUUGAAAAUUUCCUUUUCUAUUAUUAAAUUAUCAAGAAAAAAAAGUUUAAUGACGGUCAAAAUAAUCCCUGGCGUCCAUAUAAUAAUUUUCAAUAACAUUUCACGACACUAAAAAAAAUUGGAACUUUGCUCACAUUUUUCUAAGAAACGUAAAUAUUUUGUCAACUUUACUAUAUAUAUAUUAUUGUUACUCUUUUAAAAACUUAAGUAAUUUUGAUUCGACCAAUUUUUUUUGCUAUCAACUACAAUUGUUAAAAAAUAUAUAUAUACGAAAAAAAAUGGUUAAUUUUCAUUCACAAAAUAUUUAAAAAAGUAAAAUUUUAAAUUUGUCUCGUAUCUUUUGGAAUAAGGUUUGUCUUUAAUUAAGGAAAUUUAAAAGUUGCUAAAACAUAGCUAAAUUAAACAAAAGUUACUUUUUUAAAGAAAAUUUUUUAAAUAACAAAAUUAUUAAAAAUAUAAUUAAAUUAGAAUUUUUGAAUCUAUUAUUGAUAUAAUUAAGAAAAGUCUAUCAACAUAUAUCAAUUCUAAUAUUUUAUUAUAUUUUAAUUCAUUUGGUUAUAUUUAACAACUCAUUCCCACACAAACUAUAAUUCAAAUUAAAAACAUAUUUGAACAAAUAUUUUGUAUAAUUUAAGUGAUGAAUCGCACUAAUAUUGUUAAAAUGUGUUUAAAAUGUGAUACUUUUCCCACCAUAUUUUAUAGCAAAUGGCAGAUAAUUUAAUGUUUCUUUGAAGCAAGAAUUAGGCAAAGAAGCAUAUAUAUAUAUAUAUAUAUAUAUAUAUAUAUAUAUAUAAUAUAUAUAUAAUAUGUAAUUAAAUUUUAUAUUAUAGUUAUGCAAAAUCGUUUCAUAAGCCACUUCAUCUCUCUCUAUUUCAUGGCAUCAAGUAAACAAAAAGGGAAAAAGGGAAAAAGAGACCUAAUAAAAUAUGUGUUCUUUAAUUGGUGGAUUUUUAAUUAGCAUUAUUAAUUAAUCAAUCAUGUAAAUAUCCUACAAAGAAUAUUUGUUCUUAAGAUAAUUCAUUGCAUGAUGAAUCAAAAUUUUAGGUUGGGUGUUCCUGUAUACUUAAAAACAUUAUUGCAUUACCAAAUUAAAUUUAUACAAACCAAACGAUAUCAUUUUGUUCGUAUUAAGUUCGUUUAAGUUUAGAUGGUAUAUGAAAGUUGGUUUGUUAUGUUUAGGUUUAUUAAACAACAUUGUAUUUAGACGAUAGUGUAAACUUUAAGUUGUUAAACAUGUGUUUUAUCUUAGUCUAAUGUCGUCUAAUACAAAUAUAUUAUGAUACUUUUUAAUAUUUAAAAAUAUUUUUAGAAGUUUUAUAAAUUAAAAUAAUUUUUCUAAAAAUUAAGUUUCAUCAUUUUUAAGAGGAGAAAAGACACCCUAAACAUAAAUUAAAGAAAAUAGAAUGAUAUUGUAUUAAUUACAUAAAUUUAAUCAAAAAUUAAGAACUAAAAAUAAAAUUGUUAUCAAAAUGAAAAUUCAUUUUAACAUUCAAACCAUCCAAAAAAAAGAACAUCUAAUUACUCUAUUGUAACAGAAGUUUUAUCCUCUUAAGAAAAAAAUAGUUUAAUGUUAAAAGAGUAUACAAAACGUGUUAAUAAGUACACAACUCAAUUAGCAUAAAGCUUAAAUUUUAUUUAGAUCAAGACUCAAAUCUAUGAGAUCACAGGAUAUUGCAAAUUUAGGAUUUUAGGUUAUCGUUUAAAGUUCUAAAAUAUUGCAAAAUGGUGCAAGUGGGAAGAUGGGAUCCAAAUCAAGUAUGGAUAUGAUUUAGUUCCAAUUAUAAUUUAAGGUUAUAGUUUAAUGAUUUAGUUACAACACUUUAGUGUUUUGCCUCUUGAACUUCCCUUAAGCUAUAAUCCAUAAUUAAUAAUGUUUUUGAGCACGUGCCUUCUCUUUAAUUGCCACUAAGGUACCACACUAUAGAGAAGAGCUAAUGAAUCCUUGUUUUCUAUAUAAGGAGAUGGAUCAAUGCAUUCUAAGCAUAUACUCCUAUCCAUGGCUAUUUCUAGAGUGUUGUGCAUUGGCUUUCUUCUUUUUGUGGGGUUAGGGUUAGCUUCGGCUGCCCGAACUCUUCUUGAUUAUGAUCCACGUGCACGUCGUUAUGAUUACGAUCGUCCUACUCCAAGAGUAGGAUACGAUCCAAGCCAUCGUGAUCAAUCCUAUGAUAAUGUAUAUGGUGGAAGCUCUAGCAGAGGAUAUGGAGCUGGAGACUCUGCUCUUGGAGGUUCGGGACGAUAUGAAGGUGGUGGAGGACGUGAUUACGGACAUGGAGGCCGAAAUGAUGAUCGUGGUGUUGGAUAUGGAGGUCGAAAUGAUGAUCGUGGUGCUGAAUAUGGAGGUAGAAAUGAUGAUCAUGGUGCUGGAUAUGGAAGUCGAAAUGAUGAUCGUGGUGUUGGAUAUGGAAGUCGAAAUGAUGAUCGUGGUGUUGGAUAUGGAAGUCGAAAUGAUGAUCGUAGUGUUGGAUAUGGAGGCCGAAAUGAUGAUCGUGGAGUUGGAUAUGGUAAUGGUGGUGGAUAUGGAGGUGUAGGAGGACAUGGUGAUGGUUAUGGUAACAAUGGUGGUGGAAGCUAUGGAGAUCGUUAUGGCCCUUCUCUUGGAGGUUCAGGAUAUGGAAGUGGAGGAAAAGGAAGUGGCAAUGGCUAUGACGAUCAUUCUCGUGGAAAUGGUGCGCGUGACAAUAGCUAUGGAGAUUCUCAUGGACAUGAAGGACGUGACAGUGGAUAUGGAAGUGGUGGAGGAGUUAGUGGAGGCUAUGGCAAUGGAGGAGUUCAUGGAGGGGAGCAUGAUAAUAGCAAAGGAAGUGGAGAAGAAGGGGGUAGGGACGGUGGAUAUGCUUUCAAAAAUUCCAUCUCAAAGGAGAAUUGAGAACUCUUUUUCAAGUAAUGAACCCAAUAUCAUAUUAUGUUAACAAAAAAAAUAAAGAAUUGGGUAUAAGAGAAUGUUGUUUUCUAAAUUUAUGUUGAAUUUGUUACCAACGAAUGUCAAAUUCGAAUCAAUGGGUACAAUGAUAAUCAAAUUUAGGUUAUGUUUAUUGUGAUAAAUUUAUUGCACUCUUAUUUGUUUUGUUUCUCUAUAUAUAUUUUUUCUAUAUAUCCAUAUUAAUAUGGGUGGUUUUGGACCGAAGAAAAAAACAUCAUCUAAAAGUUUUUCGUUAAAAUCAUAUAAUUCUUACCUAAUAUCAAUGUUUGUUAGCAAAAAGUAAAAGAAUUUAGGUAAGAAUGUUAUGUUUCUCUUUGAAUUUUAGUAACUUUUUCAAUGAAGUUGUGAUAUUAUAAAAUCUAGUCAUUUCAUGAAGUUCUAAAGGCAAACAAGCAUGCACCAAAUACUCUAGCUAAUACAACGUACGCCAUUCCAAACGUGCUAUUUUAUGGAUUUCAAAGUUAAACUUUGAAACAAUCUUUUAAUACGUUCUAAACACAAAUUAUUUAACAUAAAUCAUGGGCUAAUCAAGUCCAAACUUAAUAGAUCAAACUCAUCAUUCCAAAUGUCUCCUACAUAACUUGUAGAAAAUUUUAAGAUUUAGUUCGAAUAUAUUAAAUUCGAUGUUCCAAGUUGUUUUAACAAAAUUGAAAAACUUCACCAUUAUUUUGAGAUUUUUUUUUAUGAUUACAUCCUUUAAUUUAUUGAAUAAUUAUAAACAAUCUUGGUUUCAAGAGAAUUAUAUUUACGCAACGAUCAUUUGCAGAUGUUCAAAAUAUUUCUACCCUCAAUUAUACUUACAGAAAAACAUUUGUUGCACUUAUCUCUUCCAAACCAUAAUAGUUUUUAGGAAAAGAAAAAAGAGACAUGUUUAUGAAAGAAAAUUAGGCUACGAUGCUCAUUGUCGUGGAUAUGGAGCGCGUGACAACGGGUAUGGGAGGUGGAGGAGUUAGGGGUGGCUAUGGUGGUGGUAGCAAAUUGAAGAGAUGGUUAUGGUAAAUAGAGAGGUGUUCAUGGAGGAGAAUAUGAUAAUGGCAAAGGAAAUGGAGAAGAAGGAGGUUGUGAGGGUGGAUAUGCACUCAAAAUUAAUUCCAUCUGAUCAAAAGAGAAUUGAGAAACUUUUUUUUUUUUUUUGUAAGUAAUGAACCCAAUAUUCAUAUUAAUUGCACAACAAAAAAUAAAGAAAUUGGGUAAGAGAGAACGUUGUUUUCUAAAUCUUAUGGGUGGAAGGUUUGCAUGUUCGUGAAUGUAAAUAUCAAAUCAAUUUUUUAAUGAUAAGCAAAUUUGGAGUAAGUGUGCAUUUAUACUGUGACAAAUUGAAUCAACCACAUAUACGUUAUUUUGUUUUUCCAAUGAUAUUUAUUAUAUAAGAGGAUUUUAUCUCAAAAUCAAUCAACAAAUACGUGAAUAGUAAUACGUCAAUUUUAUAAACAAUAAUGAUGAUCUCUUGAAUUUUUCAUGUGAAAUUAUCAACAUUCUCCAUGUAUUGUUCUCGGUUAUUAUUUUUGUAACCAAAGUGUAAUCCUCCAAAAAAAUACAAAAUUGACAACCAAGAAAAUAACUAAAUUUUCAUUUAAAAAGAAAAAAGAGAAUAGCAUAUCAAAUAUCAAAUAGCCAUGCAAAAUAAGCUUAACUAGGGGAGAGGGAGUCUAUAAGUCAAAUUGCAUAGUCUAAACCAAGGCUAACAAAUGAAUGAUGAUCCUACGAUAAAAUAUCUUAAGUAGAUUGAUACAUAUGAUAUGUAGCAUCUUCACCGCAUCUAAGAACAAGAGUCGAUGUGUUAUCACAAAAAUAAAAUACAAAAGGGAAGUUUGGGAGAAAAUUAGAGUUAUAAUAAUGUUGAGAGAGAUCCAAUUAAUUAAUACUCUUAAAAUUUUAAGAGAUAAAUUUUUAUAUUUGAGAAUUUAAAUGUGUAAUUGCGACUAAUUAACCAAUCGUGUUGAUUUUUGCAAUUUACCUUUUUUUAUUAAAUUUUCAAGAAAAAAAUAUUUAAUGACGAUCAAAAUGAUCCAUGACGUACAUACAAUUAUUGUCAAACAUUCCAUGUUACUAAAAGAAAAUUGAAACUUUCUCCAACGUUAUAAAUAUUUUAUCCACUUUACUAUUUUUUUUAUUAUUUCCCUAAUUUUGAUUCAAUCAAUUUUCUAGCUAUCAACUACCAUUCUUUAAAAAAAAAUCAAAUAUACAAAAAUAAAAAAUUGUCAAUUUUCGUCCAAAAAAAUUUUAAAAUAAAAUUUGGAAUUUGGAAUAUGGUACCUUUUGGAAUAAGUUUUAAAGCCUUUGAUUAAAAAAAAAAAGUUGCUUCAACCAAAAUCAUUGUAAAUAAUGUUGAAAUUAUAAAAUUAUUAAAAAUAUUUAUAAAUAUAGACAAACUAAAAUUUUAGAAUCUACCGUUGAUGUAACUAAUAAACGUAUAUCAGCGUCUACCGAAUAUAUUCUAAAAAACGGUAAUAUUUUAUAAAUAUUUUAGUAUGUUUACCCUUUCACAAACUUAAUUAAAAUUAUAAUCCAAAUCAAAACCUAUCCAAACAAAUAUUUGGUGUAACUUAAGGGAUGAAUCGCACUAAUAUGACUCAAACAUAUUUUGAGAAACGUGUUUAAAAUGUGAUAAAUUUUUCCACAAUAUUUUAUAGCAAAUGGCAAAUAAUUUAAAGUUUCUUUGAAGCAAGAAUUAGGCAAAGAAGCAUGUAUAUAUAUACAUAUAAUGUAAUUAAAAUUUAUAUUAUAGUGAUGCAAAAUCGUUUCAUAAGCCACUUCAUCUCUCUCUGUUUCAUGGCAUCUUAAGUACACAAAAAGAGAAAAAGGGAAAAAGAGACCUAAUAUAAUAUGUGUUCUUUAAUUGGUGGAUUUUUAUUUAGCAUUAUUAAUUCAUCAAUCACCAAGAAUAUUUAUUCUCAACAAAGUUAUUGAAUGAUAUUAAAUUUACAAGAACUAAAUGAUAUAUCAUUUCGUUUCAUAUUAAAUUUUUGUAAGUUUAGAUAAUUUAUGAAAGUAGGUUUGUUAUGUUUAGGUUAACUAAACACAUACAUGUUAAAUUGAAUAUGUGUUUUAUCUUGGUCAAUUGUGCAAAGUGGAUCCGUGGCGCAAUGGUAGCGCGUCUGACUCCAGAUCAGAAGGUUGCGUGUUCGAUUCACGUCGGGUUCAAUGUCCAUUUUUUAUUUUAGUCAUUUGUGAUCACAAAUAAAUUUAAACCUCAUAAUCAUUGCAUUUUAGGUUAUUGUGUAAAGUUAUAAAACAUUACAAAGUGGAACAAGUAUUGAUAUGAUUUCGUUCCAAUUAUAAUUUAUUUUUAUAGUUUAAUGAGACAUACGAAAAAGCCAACACUUUAGUAUUUUGCCUCUUGAACUUUACUUAAGUUAUAUAUAAAAAAUUAAUAAUGUUGUUGACCACAUGCCUCCUCUUUAAUUGCCACUAAGGUACUACACUAUAGAGAAGAGCUAAUGAGUCCUUGUUUUCUAUAUAAGGAGAUGGAUGAAUGCAUUCUAAGCAUACAUUCCUAUCCAUGGCUAUCUCUAGAGUGUUGUGCAUUGGCUUUCUUCUUUUUGUAGGUUUAGGGUUAGCUUCGGCUACCCGAACUCUUCUUGAUUAUGAUCCACGUGCACGUCGUUAUGAUUACGAUCAUCCUACUCCAAGAGUAGGGUACGAUCCAAGUCAUCGUGAUCAAUCAUAUGAUAAUGCAUACAGUGGAAGUUCUAGUAAAGGAUAUGGAAUUGGAGACUCUACUCUUGGAGGUUCUGGACGAUAUGGAGGUGGCAAAGGACAUGAUUCCGGAUAUGGAGGUCGAAAUGAUGAUCGCAGUACUGGAUAUGGAGGUCGAAAUGAUGACCGCAGUGAUGGAUAUGGAGGUCGAAAUGAUGACCGCGGUGCUGGAUACGGAGGUCGAAAUGAUGAUCGCGGUGUUGGAUAUGGAGGUCGAAAUGAUGAUCGCGGUGUUGGAUAUGGAGGUCGAAAUGAUGAUCGUGGAGUUGGAUAUGGUAAUGGUGGUAGAUAUGGAAGUGUAGGAGGACAUGGUGAUGGUUAUGGUAACAAUGGUGGUGGAAGCUAUGGAGAUCGUUAUGGCCCUUCUCUUGGAGGUUCAGGAAAAGGAAGUAACAAUGGCUAUAACGAUCAUUCUCGUGGAAAUGGAGGACGUGACAGUGGCUAUGGAGAUUCACAUGGACAUGAAGGACGUGAGAGUGGAAAUGGAAGCGGUGGAGGAGUUAGUGGUGGCUAUGGUAAUGGAGGAGUACAUGGAGGAGAGUAUGAUAAUAGCAAAGGAAGUGGAGAAGAAGGGGGUAAUGAUGGUGGAUAUGCUGUCAAAAAUUCUAUCUCAAAGGAGAAUUGAGAAUUCCUCUUUUUCAAGUAAUGAACCCAAUAUCAUAUUAUGUUAACGAGAAAUAAAGAAAUUGGGUGAGAGAAUGUUGUGUUUUAAAUUUAUGUUGAAUUUUCUUUGAAUAAUUCGAAUCAAUAGGUACAAUGAUAAUCAAAUUUGGAUUAUGUUUGUUGUGACAAAUUGACUGUACCCUAUUUUGUUAUAUUUCUCUAUAGAUUUUUUUAUAUAUAUCCAUAUUAAUACGGGUGAUUUUGAACUGAAUCAAAUGACAUAAACAAAGAGAAAAAAAUAUUGUCUAAAAGUUUAUUUGUUAACACCUUAUAAUUCUUAGUAACUUUUUCAAUGAAUGUGUGAUAUUAUAAAAAUAAGUUGUUUCAUGGGAUUCCAAGGAUGGACAAAAGAUGCAUAAAAUACUCUAACUAAUAAAAUGUACACCAUUCCAAACGUGCUAUAUUUUAUGAUUUUCAAAGUUAAACUUUGAAACAAUCUUUUAACACCUUCUAAACACAAAUUAUUUAUCAUACAUGGUGGGCUAAUCAAGUCCAAACUAAUUAAUAGGUCAAACCCAUCAUUCCAAUUGUCUGCUACACGUAACUUAUAAAAAUUUUCAAGAUUUAGUUUGAAUAUUUUAAAUUCAAUGUUUCAAGUUUUUUUAACAAAAUUGAAAAAACUUCACCAUUUUCUUGAGAUUUUCUUAUUAUGAUUACAUCCUUUAAUUUGUUGAAUAAUUAUGUACGAUCUUGUUGCAAGAGAAUAAUAUAUAUAUAUUAUUAUAUUAUAUAUAUACAUACAUUCAUUCAUUUAGGUUUAUGUGGUUCAAAAUCUUUCUACCCUCAAUUAUACUUAAAAAGCAUUGGUUGCACUCUUCUCUUCCAAACCAUGAUAGUUUUUAGGAAAAAAAAGAAACAUGUUGAUGAAAGAGAAUUAGACUACGAUGAUCAUUCUCGUGGAUAUGAAGCGCGUGACAACGGAUAUGGGAGUGGUGGAGGAGUUGGUGGUGGCAGCGAAAAAGGUGGUUAUGGUAAUAGAGAGGUGUUCAUAAAGGAGAAUAUGAUAAUCGGAAAGGAAAUGGGGAAGAAGGAGGUUCUAAUGGUAGAUAUGCACUCAAAAUUAAUUUCAUCUAAUCAAAAGAGAAUUGGAAACUUUUUUUUAAGCAAUGAACCCAAUAUUCAUAUUAAUUGGGCAACAAAAAUAAAGAAAUUGGGUAAGAGACAACGUUGUUUUAUAAAUCUUAUAUGUCAUUAGUUUACUUUUUGGUGAAAGUAAAUAAUUUGGAUUAAGUAUGCAUUUGUAUUAGAACAAAUUGAAUCCAACCAUAUACACAUUAUUUUACUUUUUUAAUAAUAUUUUUUAUUAAAUUAGAUGGUUUUAUUUUAAAAUUAAUUGAUAAUUACGUGAAUAGUAAUAUGUAUAUCUUAUAAACAAUAAUGUUGAUCUCUUCAAUUUUUUAUAUGCAGAAUUAUCAACAUUCUCCACCUAAUGUUCUAGGUUAUUUUUGUAAUCAAAGUGUAACUCUCAGACAAAAACAAAAACGAAAAAACCAAGAAAAUAACUAAAUUUUCAUUUAAAAAGAGAAAAAAGAAUAGCAUAUCAAACAUCCAUCCAAAAUAAGCAUAAUUAAGGGAGAGGGGGCCUAUACGUCAAUUGCUUAGUCUAAACCAAGACUAACAAAUGCCUUGUCCUAUGAUAAAAUAUUUAUAUUUCAAAGAUACAUAUAUUUUCACUACAUCCAAGAUCAAGAGCCAUUGUAUUAUAACAAAAGAUUGUACAAAAGGGGAGUUGGGGAGAAACUUAGAGUCAUAAUGUUCAAAGAGAUCUAAUUAAUACUUGUAAAAUUUUAAGAGCUAAAAUUUUGUAACAGAGAUUGAGAGUGUAAUCGCAACAAAUAAUCAUACUUCAAUGGUUGAUUAAUUUAUCAAGAAAAGUUUUAAAAAAACAUUUAAUGACAGUCAACAUCAACCCUUUCACGUCAUUAAAAGAAAAUUGGAACUUUGCCCACAUUUCUUUAUUAUUUUGCUAUUAAAAAUUAAUUUUGAUUCAAUCAAUUUUUUAGUUAUCAACUACUAUUCUUAAAAAAAUAUAUAUAUAUACAAAAAUUACGAAAAAGAAAUAUUACUUCUCAAACAAGAAUCAUCUUAAAUAAUCAUCCUAUCCAUUUUAAAAAAUAUAUAUAUUUUCAAUAAAUUAAAUAAUAAAAUUAUUGAAAAUAUUUAUAAAUAUAACUAAAAUAAAACUCUAAAAUCGAUGGAGGAUGUAACUUAUGAAAGUCUAUUAGCAUCUAUCAUUAACAUAUUCUAAAAUAUUUUUGUAAAUAUAUUUUGUUUCAUUUUGCUAUACUUAAAAAUAACCUUCCACAAAUUUAAAACUCAAAUUAAUCAAAACCAAUCCCAACAAAUAUUUUGUAUAAUUUAUGCGAUGUGCAUAAAUACGCAUUUUCCCACCAUAUUUGAUAGCAAAUGGCAAAUUAUUUAAUGUUUGUUUGAAGCAAGAAUUAGGCAAAGAAGCAUAUAUCUAUAUAAUAUGUAACUAGAUCUUAUAUUAUAGUGAUGCAAAAUCGUUUCAUAAGGCACUUCAUAUCUCUCUGUCUCAUGGCAUCUUAAGUACACAAAAUGAGAAAAAGGGAAAAAGGGCCCUAAUAUAAUAUGUGUCCUUUAAUUGGUGGAAUUUUAUUUAGCAUUAUUAAUUAAUCAACCGUGUAAAAUAUGGUAGGAAGAAUUAUUCUAAUGAUGAAUGAAAAUUUUAGGUUGGGAGGUCCCAUAUAUGAAGCAUAUGAGAAAUUUUCAAUCUUAAAAGAGUGAAUUAUCAAAUUAAAUUUACAUGAACGAAAUGAUAUAUCAUUUGGUUUGUAUUAAGUUUGUUUAAGUUUAGAUGAUUUACGAAAAUAGGUUUGUUAUGUUUAGGUUGACAAAACGACACUGUAUUUAGAUGAUGGUGUAAAUUUUAACAUGUUAAACAUGUGUUUUAUCUUGGUUUAUUGUGAUCUAAUACAAAUAAAUAUCGUUAUUGAAUUUUAGGUUAUCGUGUAAAGUUGUAAAAUAUUACAAAGUGGUGCAAGUGGGAAAAUGGGAUCAAAAGGAGAGUAUUGAUAUGAUUUCGUUCCAAUUAUAACUUAUUUUUUUAGUUUAAUGAGACAUAGGAAAAAGCCUACACUUUAGUGUUUUGCCUCUUGAACUUCCUUUGAGCUAUAUAUCCAAAAUUAAUAAUGAUUUUUUAGCACGUGUCUCCUCUUUAAUGGCCUCUAAGGUACCACACUAUAGAGAAGAGCUAAUGAAUCCUUGUUUUCUAUAUAAGGAGAUGGAUCCAUGCAUUCUAAGCAUACAUUCCUAUCCAUGGCUAUUCCUAAAGUGUUGUGCAUUGGCUUUCUUCUUUUUGUGGGUUUAGGGUUAGCUUCGGCUGCCCGAACUCUUCUUGAUUAUGAUCCACGUACACGUCGCUAUGAUUACGAUCAUCCUACUCCAAGAGUAGGGUACGACCCAAGUCAUCGUGAUCAAUCCUAUGAUAGUGCAUACAGUGGAAGUUCUAGUAAAGGAUAUGGAGUUGGAGACUCUGCUCUUGGAGGUUCUGGACGAUAUGAAGGUGGUGGAGGACGUGAUUCCGGAUAUGGAGGUCGAAAUGAUGAUCAUGGUGUGGGAUAUGAAGGUCGAAAUGAUGGUCGUGGUGCUGGAUACGGAAGUCGAAAUGAUGAUCGCAGUGCUGGAUAUGGAGGUCGAAAUGAUGAUCGUGGUGCUGGAUAUGGAGGUCGAAAUGAUGAUCGUGGUGCUGGAUAUGGAGGUCGAAAUGAUGAUCACGGUGCUGGAUAUGGAAGUCGAAAUGAUGAUCAUGGUGCUGGAUAUGGAGGUCGAAAUGAUGAUCGUGGGGUUGGAUAUGGUAAUGGUGGUGGAUAUGGAAGUGUAGGAGGACAUGGUGAUGGUUAUGGUAACAAUGGUGGUGGAAGCUAUGGAGAUCGUUAUGGCCCUUCUCUUGGAGGUUCGGGAUAUGGAAGUGGAGGAAAAGGAAGUGGCAAUGGCUAUGAUGAUCAUUCUCGUGGAAAUGGAGCACGUGACAAUAACUAUGGAGAUUCUCACGGACAUGAAGGACGUGACAGUGGAUAUGGAAGUGGUGGAGGAGUUAGCGGAGGCUAUGGCAAUGGAGGAGUUCAUGGAGGGGAGCAUGAUAAUAGCAAAGGAAGUGGAGAAGAAGGGGGUAGUGAUGGUGGAUAUGCUUUCAAAAAUUCCAUCUCAAACAAGAAUUGAGAACUCUCUUUUAAGCAAUGAACCCAAUAUCAUAUUAUGUUAAAGAAAAAUAAGGAAAUUGGGUAAGAAUGAAUAAUGUUGUGUUCUAAAUGUAUGUUGAAUUUACUUCAAAUGAAUGCUAAAUUUGAAUCAAUGAAUUAUGUUUGGAUUAUGUUUGUUGUUACAAAUUGAUUCCACCUUUCUUUUUGUUUUGUUUCUCUAUACAUUUUUCUAUAUAUCCAUAUUAAUAUGGAUUGAUUUUGGACCGAAUCGAAUGACAUAAUAAUCUAUGCCAAAUAAGAGUAAAACCACAUAGCCAAGAAAAUGAUAAGAGUAAAAGGAAAAAUAGUAUGUACAAUGUAAGACAAAUAAUUGUGUCUAGGAGAAGAGGGUGUUACUCAAGCCAAUGCAUUUAACCUCGACAAGACUCAACCUCAAGUUGAGCCUAACAAAAUGUCUAGUUGGGCAUACCCUUGUCAAAAUGCAUCACUUUAAUUAAGACUAAAAUAAACAUAUAGAGAAGGGAGUUUGAGCUUGAUAGGUCGAGACCAAUCCUAGCAGAAUAUUAAACAGAACUUGCCCUUCACAUGCCUCAACCUAAGUGAGUUGAAAAGGUUAUCGUAUCGUACCUCCAAAACUCUAUUCGGACAUAACCUAACUAAUUAACUAGGUUUAUUUAAUUCUACAAAUAAAUCAUUAGAGCUCUACAGAAACAAACUCUAUUCUCACUCAAUUUCUUUGACAUUUUUCAACUCUCUCUAAAAGCCAAAUAGGCACAACCCUAAAUCCUUACAUCUUCAAACCCUGUGUUUUAAUUACUAUGGAUAAAAGAGAACACAAAUCAAAUUUUACUUUCUUAUAUUUAGAUCAUAUUUCUUUUGAAAUUCAAAGUAAUGGAUAACACAAUAUGCUUCCAUUUCUAAUUUAAAUGAAAAUUUCAACAUUCCUAAUUACUGAUUUAUUUACACAAAAUAGCCCAAAGUAAAUAACUAUAAGUGAGUUUUCUUUACUAUUAUUUUGGUGAGUGAAGAUACUAUGAGUUUUUAUAUCACUAAAAUGUGAUAAUUUUUCCAACCAUUAUUGUAUUAGCAAAUGGGAAAUAAAUUAUUUAAUAAUGUAUCUAUAAAGUGGGAAGAAUUAGGGAAACAAAAUGCAUAAUUAAAUAUGUAAAAAAACUAUAGUAAUGCUAUGUCGUUUCAGAAACCAUUUGAAGAGUUAAGGAAAAAAGAGGGGAAAAAAAGCUCUAAUAUAAUAUAUGCUCUUUAGUCCUUUUUCUUAAAAAAAAAUUAAUGCUCUUUAAUUAGUUUGAAAUAGCCAUAUAAAUUAAAUAUCUUCCUAAAAGGAAAGAUGGGUUCUCAAGAAAAAAUAUAUUUCAAUGCUUCUUUUUCUUUUUCUUUUUCUUAAUCCUUGUUGAUGAAGAGAAUUCAGGCUUAAAAAUGGAGAAUUUCAUAUUUUCUAAUAUUUUACACUUUUUUCAACCUCAUAAACAAAUUUUGAUUAAAUGGUUGUAGUAAAGAUACUUUUCUUUUUUUUUCACCAAAAACAGCUUUAUUUUAUUUUAAUCUUCUGUCAUAUUUGUAUCGAGAAAAUUAAAUAAAUACUAUUUUUUUUCAAUAUAUUUAAUUUCGUUUUAAAAUAAAGGGAAAAUCCCUAGAAAUCAUCACUUUUCUCUUCUUCUUUGAAGACCCUCUUCUUUUAUGGUAUAACUUUCAUUAGUUGUUCUUAAUAUGCUUCUUUUAACUUUAACUGUCAAAUAUAUAUAUACACAUACAACGAUAAUUUAUCCUUAAUAUCAGAUAUAAAGUUUUUUUUAUGCAUGGCUCUAAUCCAAAAGACUUCAAAAAAAAAAUUACCAAAAUGUAAAUCGAUGAUGAGAAAUUAAAAAAUUGAUAUGGCUAAUGUUUAAUAAGCUAGAUUGAUUGAUAAGUUACUCAUCCCACAAUUACUUGAUUUUGAGAUGAAACGUCAAGUUAUCUAAUAUUAUAUCGUAACUCGCGAAAACAUAAACGAACAUUCAGAUCAAAAAAAUAAAUAUUGGAGUCCAAUUCAAGAAUGAUGAACCCAAAGAGAGACAUCAUUUAUCAAUGGUGUGUAUACUAGCCAAGGAUCUUAUCAUGCUAGAAUAAUUGAGGGACCUUUUAUGUUUAUAUAUAAGAUGUAUAUGUUUCUUCUCUUAUAUUUUAUAUUGGUUUUAAGAUGUAAAGCUCAUGUUAUCUAAUAUAUGAUGUCGGUUGUUCGAAAAUUCGAUGUAAAAAUAGUAAAUAAUCGAAAGAAGCACGGAUCCCAAAAGGACAUAUCAAGGAAACCUCACACCAUGCAUCUUUAUAAGUCCCUCACACCAUGCAUUCAAAAACUAUAAUUGAGGGACCUCACACCAUGUCAUGCAUCUUUAUAACGUCAAUCAUACAUAUCUAUUAUUAAUUUCCUCUCAUAUGGCUCAUGAUAUACUACGUGUAACAAUUUUUCAUUGCCAAGAAAUUUCCAAAUUGUAAUAGUGGUAAGUUAUGAAAUGAUUUUCUUACAAAUAUCUUCAUAGAUAAAUUAAUAAUAAAACAUCAUGUGUGAACGGCAGAAUCCAAUUGACUGAAAAAUCAUUUUGGAGUAAUAUUAUCGGUUGUGAGCACAAUCCUUUGAUCUAUUUGGUGGGAAAGAAACAGUAGAACCUUUACUUGAGAAGCUAUAAUUCUUACAUUUUUAUUAAUUAUCAUAUUACUUCGUCUUUAUUUUAAAAAUAUUCAUACAAGACAUGAGAGAUUAGCAUAGGCAUUCAAAUAUCAAUACCUUUGAACAAAAAAGCUUUUCCUUGGCCCUAAAAAAGUUGUACAACAAUUAACAAAACACUCCAAUAUUAAGGUUAAUAGGAAGAAUGCCUAAACUUAACUAUAAAAAUUGUUUGGAACUACAAAACUAAGCAAACUAAGGUGGCUAAACUCAACAUGAAAAUAAAGAAGAGUAAUUUAAACUUAGAUAUUUAUUCAUGUCACCUAAACUUUUAAAGUCGUUUUUGAUUGCAUGCUCCUCUAAACUUUAUCAAAUCUUGCGAGAUCAUGUAAGGGGAAAGAUGGAAUCAACUUAGCCUUACUUUAAUUUAAUAUGUUUUAGUACCACAUGUCAACAUAAAAUAAAGAAAUUAGGUUAGAGAGAAGGUUGUGAUCUAAAUCUAAGUACAUUAAUUAAUGUCAAAUUUCAAUCCAUGUUUGAAUGAUAAACAAAUUUGGAGUAAAGAAUAUUACUCAACCAUACAUAAGUAAGACUUCAACUCUAAUUGAAAGGGGCUGACAAGUAUAGUUACUCCUAAACUGUCUACAAAUAUUAAAUAUUAUAUGAAGACAAUAAAGUUAAGGGGAGUUCGAGUCCCCUAGACCUAUACUAAAUCCGUCGGUCAUGGUGAUGGUGCACAACACUCAAUUGUUCAACACAACUAUGAUGAAUUUUUUUGUUUGUUGGGAGAGAAAACACUAAUAUGUUUUAUUUCAUUAAAAUGUGAUAUUUUUGUCCCAUGAUUAUUGUAUAGAGAAAUGGGAAAUUAUAUAUAUAGUGUAAGCUUCAAGUGGGAAUUAGGAAACACAUGCAUAAAUAUAAAGUUACGAUAAUUAUAGUAAUGCAAUGUCGUUUCAGAAGCCCAUUAUUCAUCCUCUCAAUUAUCUCAUGCAUGGUGGCUCUCAUCAAGUUGAGAAAAAGGAAAAAAAAUAGGCCUAAUAAAAUAUAUGUUCUUUGUUUCUUGGUAACCAUUGUAAAUUAAUCGUAAUAUAAAUAUCUUCUAAAAGAGAAAAAAAGAAGACUCUCAAGACAAAUUAUCAUGCUUCGUCAAUCCUCUUUUUUUUUUUUUUUUUUUUCCUCAAUCUUUAAUGAUAGAAGAAAAUUUUAGCUCAAUAAAAUUGAAAUUUUUGUAUUUUAAAAAAUUUAUGAUGUUUUUUAACACGUGUAUAUAUAUAUAAUGAACAAUAUAACAAAAUAUCACAUUAAGUUUUACUAUAUAUUUAUAAAUAUUUUUUUAAUUAAUUUUUUCACUUAAUUUAAAAAUAUUUUUUCUAUAUAAAUAUUAUUAAUAAAGAACAAUUACAUUAGCUUCUCUUUUUACGUAUAACUCUUACUUUGGAUUGAACUUUUAACUCUUGAAAAGAGCAUUAGUGAGCCAAUUAAUUCACUUUGACUACAUAACUUUCUUUAGUUGCUUAAUAUAUUUGUUUUGGUGUUAAACUAUCAUUAUAACAGAACAAUUAGGAUAGUUUUCAUUUUCGUGUAUAACGUUUUUCUAUGGUCGAUAUCUAAGGAAAUAAUCAAAAAAACAAAUGUACUUACAAUAAAUUUCAUUGUGUCAUAAAAUGAAAUUUCCAAAUUAUGUAAGUGUUAAGUUGUAAAAGUUGAUAAUCAAAUUUCAAUGUGAAAUUAUAUAUUUUGGAAAUAUCUGCACCAUAGACAAAAAUUAAUAAACAAACUUCUCAAAAUUAAGUGUGUUAAUUAUAAGAGAAUGCCUAAACUUAACUAUAAAAAAAUAAGUUGGAGCCAAAACUAAUUAGCUAAAAUAUUAAGGUGAAUUUAUCACAAAAAGUACAAACAAGUGAAGUAAGGUGGUGUUGCAUAAAGCCUACUGAUUUUCAACUUUGGCUUUCUAAAUUUGAGCUCCUCACGUUUUCACACAAAAGCUUCUCACAACCUUUGAAUAAGAUCCUCUCAAAAGAACAUCAACUACUGAUGUAUUAAACUAAUAAAGAGCCAGCCUAGUUUACUUGACUACUAGUAACAUCCUCAACAGUGACGUACAUUUAAUUUCACAAACAGUGCGUAAGGAUUAAGGUUAAACAAUCUCUCAAAACAUGCACACACAGUAUUUUUAACAGAGCUAAUUAACCCUAAAAAUAAACAAAACUCAUAAUAUAUAUGGAAGCUGAUCUUGAGCAGAUAGGAAAAAAGAUUAUCAAAAAGAAUAGAAAAACAAAUUAAAUCAGCAGGUUUAAUUUUCCCUACACGGUUCAAUAGAUUAAGAAAAAAAUCUUGAUACAAAAUUCGAAGGAGAAAUAUAGAUUUUGACAGAAAAUGUUACAAAACAAGUUGCUCAAGUUUUGCUUGUAACAAAAUCCGCCAAUCGUAGUACAGUAACACAUAAGCAACUAAAAUGACUGAUCUCAACAAGAAUGGAAACACUAGAUAUGUUACAAGAGAACAUGCAUAAAUACAGUUUGGUCUAAUUAAAAAAACAGUGUCUUAGAUAACACAAGAAGGUAGAAAAAUAGAUGAGAGAGUAAUCAAACUUAGCUGACAAAUAUGGAUAUUAAUGAAUUUCACCUGAACUUUAUAUAGUUUUUCUUUACUCUUCUCUAAAUCUUACCAAAUAUUGCAAGAUCGUGUAAGUGGACAAUGGAAUAAUCGUAAUAAUCAAUUGAAGCCUUACAUAAAAUAUCGAUGUGUUUUAGUACCAAAAUCGAACUUUAGUUAGUACCUAAUAUGACAAAAGGCCUCACUACGUAGUAUUUUGCCUCAUGGACAUCCAUGGAGAAGUUGAUGAACCCACCACUUUUUUUAAACAUAUGACACCCUCUUUACCGUGAAGGACACCAUAGAGAAGUUGAAGAGACCCUCCACCCAUUUCCUAUAUAAAGAGAUCAAUGCAUGCAUUUUCUUGGCAUUCUACUCAUUCUCUAAUUCUCUCCAUGGCUAUCCUUAGAGCACUGUGCCUUGCCUUUCUUCUCUUUGUACGGUUAGGUUUAGCUUCGGCUACUAGAACUCUUCUUGAUUAUGAUCCACGUACACUUCAAUAUGGCUAUGAUCGUCCUAGUCCAAGAGUAGGGUAUGAUCCUGGCCAUGGGGAUGAAUCCUAUGAUAAGGCAUACGGUGGAAGCUCUAGUAGAGGACAUGGAAUUGGAGACUCUGCUCUUGGAGGUUCUGGAUACGAAGGUGGUGGAAGACACGAUUAUGGAUAUGGAGAUCGACAUAAUGAUCGUGGGGUUGGAUAUGGUAAUUAUGGUGGUGGAUAUGGAGGUGUAGGAGGACAUGGUGAUGGUUAUGGUAACAAUGGUGGUGGAAGCUAUGGAGAUCGUUAUGGACCUUCUCUUGGAGGUUCAGGAUAUGGAAGUGGAGGAAAAGGAAGUGGCAAUGGCUAUGACGAUCAUUCUCGUGGAAAU